AAACUUUUCAGCUAGAGUAUGAUAGAGGAAAGCAGAAUUUCUAGUGUAGAGGUGAAAUUCGUAGAUAUUAGAAAGAAUACCAAUUGCGAAGGCAGCUUUCUGGAUCAUUACUGACACUGAGGAACGAAAGCAUGGGUAGCGAAGAGGAUUAGAUACCCUCGUAGUCCAUGCCGUAAACGAUGUGUGUUAGACGUUGGAAAUUUAUUUUCAGUGUCGCAGCGAAAGCGAUAAACACACCGCCUGGGGAGUACGACCGCAAGGUUAAAACUCAAAUGAAUUGACGGGGACCCGCACAAGUAGUGGAGCAUGUGGUUUAAUUCGAAGAUACGCGCAGAACCUUACCAACACUUGACAUGUUCGUCGCGACUCUAAGAGAUUAGAGUUUUCGGUUCGGCCGGACGAAACACAGGUGCUGCAUGGCUGUCGUCAGCUCGUGUCGUGAGAUGUUGGGUUAAGUCCCGCAACGAGCGCAACCCUCACUUUUAGUUGCCAUCAUUUAGUUGGGCACUCUGAAAGAACUGCCAGUGAUAAGCUGGAGGAAGGUGGGGAUGACGUCAAGUCCUCAUGGCCCUUACGUGUUGGGCUACACACGUGCUACAAUGGCAUCUACAACAGGAAGCAAAACGGCAACGUUAAGCAAAUCCCGAAAAGAUGCCUCAGUUCGGAUUGCACUCUGCAACUCGAGUGCAUGAAGCUGGAAUUACUAGUAAUCGUGGAUCAGCGUGCCACGGUGAAUGCGUUCCCGGGUCUUGUACACACCGCCCGUCACACCAUGGGAGUUGGUUCUACCUUAAGGCAAGGUUUUAAACCCUUGACCACGGUAUAGUCAGCGACUGGGGUGAAGUCGUAACAAGGUAACCAA
This 862-nucleotide ribosomal RNA is filed under the name uncultured bacterium. Its description in RNAcentral is "bacterial SSU rRNA". It matches the Rfam family "Bacterial small subunit ribosomal RNA", at positions 630 to 1503 of the family's 1533-position model. The record is from RNAcentral.